This 389-nucleotide ribosomal RNA is filed under the name uncultured bacterium. RNAcentral describes it as "bacterial SSU rRNA". It matches the Rfam family "Bacterial small subunit ribosomal RNA", at positions 28 to 417 of the family's 1533-position model. The record is from RNAcentral.
GACGAACGCUGGCGGCGUGCUUAACACAUGCAAGUCGAGCGGUAAGGCCCUUUCGGGGGUACGACGAGCGGCGAACGGGUGAGUAACACGUGGGUGACCUGCCCUCAGCUCUGGGAUAAGCCUGGGAAACUGGGUCUAAUACCGGAUAUGACUCCAUGACGCAUGUUGUGGGGUGGAAAGCCUUGUGCGGCUGAGGAUGGGCCCGCGGCCUAUCAGCUUGUUGGUGGGGUGAUGGCCUACCAAGGCGACGACGGGUAGCCGGCCUGAGAGGGCGACCGGCCACACUGGGACUGAGACACGGCCCAGACUCCUACGGGAGGCAGCAGUGGGGAAUCUUGCGCAAUGGGCGAAAGCCUGACGCAGCGACGCCGCGUGAGGGAUGACGGCCU